UUUCUUCAGGGCAGGGUGAAAUUCCCGACCGGCGGUUAUAGUCCGCGAACCGGUGCUUAGGCAAUGGUUGAACUUGUGUAAUUCAAGUACCGACAGUACAGUCUGGAUGGGAGAAGAA
This 118-nucleotide non-coding RNA is filed under the name zebrafish metagenome. Its description in RNAcentral is "FMN riboswitch (RFN element)". It matches the Rfam family "FMN riboswitch aptamer (RFN element)". Rfam says of the family: The RFN element is a highly conserved domain that is found frequently in the 5'-untranslated regions of prokaryotic mRNAs that encode for flavin mononucleotide (FMN) biosynthesis and transport proteins. This element is a metabolite-dependent riboswitch that directly binds FMN in the absence of proteins. The record is from RNAcentral.